UGUCUCCACACUGCAGACUCAAGAUACAUCUAUCCAUAAGAGAGGUGAUCCAUGCAUCGAUCUUAAAUGGAUUGAUCACUAUCUUUCAUGAUGAUCUUUCAAUCGAAAGUAUUUUCAAAUUAACCACUAAUAAUGUAUGUCUUAAAUUUUCAAUACUUUGAGAAUAUACAAAAUUAUUUUUAUUAAUUUCUAAGAUAAAUCAUGAACACAUACAAUAUGAUUGGUAAAAGUUGCUCGAUUAGUAUAAAAAAUAUCCUAGAGAAAUAUAUGCAUCAGUCAAGAUU
Molecule: long non-coding RNA, 284 nt
Filed under: Elaeis guineensis (African oil palm)
Lineage: Eukaryota; Viridiplantae; Streptophyta; Magnoliopsida; Arecales; Arecaceae
Description: long non-coding RNA (EGUI_LNC036594)
Source: RNAcentral